This 252-nucleotide ribosomal RNA is filed under the name uncultured bacterium. Its description in RNAcentral is "partial 16S ribosomal RNA". It matches the Rfam family "Bacterial small subunit ribosomal RNA", at positions 524 to 776 of the family's 1533-position model. The record is from RNAcentral.
UACGAAGGUCCCAAGCGUUAUCCGGAUUUAUUGGGUUUAAAGGGUGCGUAGGCGGGCUAUUAAGUCAGUGGUGAAAGCCCCAAGCUUAACUUGGGAACUGCCAUUGAUACUGAUGGUCUUGAGUACAUUUGAGGUGGGCGGAAUGUGUCAUGUAGCGGUGAAAUGCUUAGAUAUGACACGGAACACCGAUGCGAAGGCAGCUCACUAAACUGUAACUGACGCUGAGGCACGAAAGCGUGGGGAGCAAACAGG